GUGCUCGCUUUGGCAGCACAUAUACUAAAAUUGGAACAAUACAGAGAAGAUUAGCAUGGCUCCUGCACAAAGAUGACACGCAAAUUUGUGAAGCGUUCCAUAUUUUU
This 107-nucleotide small nuclear RNA is filed under the name Macaca nemestrina (pig-tailed macaque). The record is from RNAcentral. Lineage: Eukaryota; Metazoa; Chordata; Mammalia; Primates; Cercopithecidae.